UCUCAUUCCCCACUCAAACGACUCUCUCUCGAUAUCUCUAUCCCUGUCUCUCUCUAGAACCUUCCCCCUUCCCCUCCUCCCCGACGAAUUUCAUUACCUUCGCAGGCCACCUCAUAGCCCGAAUCUAUGGUGGUAUCACCACCUAUCAGCCUCCUAUGGUGCAUAUGCUCUUGUUUGAUGAGGUUUCAUGGUCCGACCACAAAGAAGUUUUACCCACACCUUGUUGGUUCAAGUUUAUGGCCAUCUCCGGCCUUGCUCCGGCAAGACAUGUCUGUUUCGAGCCUGGCUUCGACCCCUCUUGCUUAGAUCAACAACCAUCCAAGCCUUUCUCACCG
This 335-nucleotide long non-coding RNA is filed under the name Nicotiana benthamiana. Its description in RNAcentral is "long non-coding RNA (NBEN_LNC028283)". The record is from RNAcentral. Lineage: Eukaryota; Viridiplantae; Streptophyta; Magnoliopsida; Solanales; Solanaceae.